Marmota monax (woodchuck) is the source of this 304-nucleotide long non-coding RNA. RefSeq lists it as uncharacterized. The record is from RefSeq and is a predicted model, not a curated record. Lineage: Eukaryota; Metazoa; Chordata; Mammalia; Rodentia; Sciuridae. The transcript is spliced from 3 exons.
UGACACACCAUGGUGCAUAACUCUCAUCUGGGUCCCUGAGUGACUGAAAAACCACCCCUUGCCAACGGACAUUGGACAAGUACAUGAGCAAGAAAUAAACUUUCAUAUGCGAAGCCGUCAGAGAUGUCAGGCUGAAGAGGCGGGUGAAACUCUGCAAGCCCAAGUACCCAGGAGAAGAGGAGACACAAGAAGGGACCCCUGCCAGCCACACCACCGGAGACCAUGUGGGACCAGAGAACCGCUGCCCCUGGUGGGCCCACAGCUGGGCGGCCCCAGGCAGGUGGGCGGAGGAGCCUCCAGGCAG